RNAcentral lists this ribosomal RNA (556 nucleotides) under uncultured Aquibacillus sp. Its description in RNAcentral is "bacterial SSU rRNA". It matches the Rfam family "Bacterial small subunit ribosomal RNA", at positions 316 to 877 of the family's 1533-position model. The record is from RNAcentral. Lineage: Bacteria; Bacillati; Bacillota; Bacilli; Caryophanales; Bacillaceae.
UCCCUGCGAAAGGGGAUGUUCAGCAGCAGUAGGGAAUCUUCUGCAAUGGACAACAGUCGGAGGGAGCAACCCCGGGUGAACAAUGAAGGCUUUCGGGUCGUAAAGUUUGGUUGUUAGGGAAGAACAAGUACCGUAGUAAAUGGCGGUACCUUGACGGUACCUAACCAGAAAGCCCCGGCUAACUACGUGCCAGCAGCCGCGGUAAUACGUAGGGGGCAAGCGUUGUCCGGAAUUAUUGGGCGUAAAGCGCGCGCAGGGGGUUCUUUAAGUCUGAUGUGAAAGCCCCCGGCUCAACCGUGGAGGGUCAUUGGAAACUGGGGAACUUGAGUGCAGAAGAGGAGAGUGGAAUUCCACGUGUAGCGGUGAAAUGCGUAGAGAUGUGGAGGAACACCAGUGGCGAAGGCGACUCUCUGGUCUGUAACUGACGCUGAGGCGCGAAAGCGUGGGGAGCCCACAGGGUUAGAUACCCUGGUAGUCCACGCCGUAAACGAUGACAUUAGUGUUAGAGGGUUCCGCCCCUUAGUGCUGCAGCUAACGCAUAAGCACUCCGCCUGGG